CAGUAGCCGCGGGAAUACGUAGGGUGCAAGCGUUAAUCGGAAUUACUGGGCGUAAAGGGCGCGCAGGCGGAUGUUUAAGUCAGAGGUGAAAGCCCAGGGCUCAACCUUGGAACUGCCUUUGAUACUGGACAUCUUGAGUGUGGGAGAGGUGAGUGGAACUCCGAGUGUAGAGGUGAAAUUCGUAGAUAUUCGGAAGAACACCAGUGGCGAAGGCGACUCACUGGCCCAUUACUGACGCUGAGGCGCGAAAGCGUGGGGAGCAAACAGGAUUAGAUACCCCCGUAGUCCCUGUCUCUUAUAC
Molecule: ribosomal RNA, 301 nt
Filed under: uncultured bacterium
Lineage: Bacteria
Description: partial 16S ribosomal RNA
Rfam family: Bacterial small subunit ribosomal RNA
Source: RNAcentral